This 773-nucleotide ribosomal RNA is filed under the name Tropidophorus cocincinensis. Its description in RNAcentral is "partial 16S rRNA". It matches the Rfam family "Bacterial large subunit ribosomal RNA", at positions 1435 to 2594 of the family's 2925-position model. Lineage: Eukaryota; Metazoa; Chordata; Lepidosauria; Squamata; Scincidae. The record is from RNAcentral.
ACUCCUACAACCCAUUGAGCUACUCUAUACAAUAGAAGAACGCCUGCUAAAACUAGUAACAAGAAAACACUUCUCUACAACACACCCGUGCCUCGGCCAUAGAACACCUCCCGACAAUUAACAGACUAAAACUGCAAACUAACACAAAGUUAUCCAAACUGUCACCCCGACACAGGGGUGUAAACAAGAAAGAUUAAAAGCCACAGAAGGAACUCAGCAAAAUAUUGACCCAACUGUUUACCAAAAACAUAGCCUUUAGCAAUACAAGUAUUAAAGGUAUCGCCUGCCCAGUGAAAUUUUAACGGCCGCGGUAUUCUAACCGUGCAAAGGUAGCGAAAUCAUUUGUCUUUUAAAUAAAGACCAGUAUGAAUGGCUAAAUGAGGUCAAACCUGUCUCCUGUGACCAAUCAGUGAAACUGAUCUCUCCAGUACAAAAGCUGGAAUGAACCCAUAAGACGAGAAGACCCUGUGGAGCUUAAAAUUUACCAUUAAUAGCCAAGAAACAUAGCUAUCUAAUACAAAAUUUUAAGUUGGGGCGACUUCGGAAUAAAGAAAAACUUCCGAGCACAGAACCAACCGUUCAAACACAGGCCCACAAGCCAAAUAAAUGCCGACCCAGUCCAACUGAUCAACGAACCAAGUUACCCCAGGGAUAACAGCGCCAUCUUCUUCUAGAGUCCAUAUCGAAAAGAAGGUUUACGACCUCGAUGUUGGAUCAGGACACCCCAAUGGUGCAGCUGCUAUUAACGGUUCGUUUGUUCAACGAUUAACAGU